CUGGUAUUAUGCAUCUUCAAACUUUAAGAAAGGAUAUAAAAAUGACUAAUGAUUGAACAUUAAAAAAUAGGAAAGUGUUAACAGAAAAGGUUCCCAUAUUAAGUGUUUGAGUAGGUCUCACAUGGAUUGAGCUAGAAAAUUUUGAUUAUUAGGUAGAAAUUUAUGUACUCUAAAUGUAUACUCUAAAUUUUAGGGUCAUCAUACUCAAUGAAAAAUACUACCUAAUUUUUGUUGUUUUAAGAAUGCUAGCAACACUCUCUUUUGAGCACUUACUCUCUUAUUGGUUUAAAUCAUUGUGGAUCUACACUUUGAAAAUUGAAUCCACACAAAGUGGUGGGACAUAUUGAUUGUAUCCCAUGAGAGAGUAAGUAUUAGAGGAAAUGUUCAAAAGUGAGUGUUGCUAGCAUUUUUUUUUAUUAGCAGUGAUAUUAUUGUGGCUUAGAACAGGAGGAUAUUGAUCUAAUGGAAGCCAUGAAAGUAAACAGCUACAGAUUCUCAAUUUCAUGGGCAAGAGUUCUACCAAGUAUGCUUCUUAAUUUGAUUAUUCUCAAUUUAGAUAUUACCAUCUGCUUGAAAUCAAUUCUUUAUGUAAACUUUGAUACCCUUUUUGCAGAAGGAAGAUUUGGAGAAGUCAAUUCUGGUGGCAUCAGCUAUUACAAUCGGCUAAUAGAUGCUUUGCUUCUCAAAGGUUUAUUUCUAGCUCUUAAAUGAGAAUGUCACAUUAAUUAAAGAAUGCUAGCAUACUAAAACUAUUAACUCUGACCAUUUCAACAAAAAUCAUCCGAGCCCACUUAUUCACCGUAUAAGAUGAAUUUUUGGCCACUAGGUUACUCAGGCACCGAUCUACAUUGCUCUAAUUGAGGACUUUUGACCCCACUUAUGCAUUACUCAUGCAUGAAUUUAGAUGAUGACCCCAUACAAUUUCAUAUUGCCCCCACAAAAGUUUAUUUAGUGUACUAAAGACAAACAAUUACACCAUGAUGAUACUACUACUAAAGACUAAAGGCUAAGGAAAAUUUGGAUUGCAUUUCUGUCGAUAGAGAAAAGUUAAUGGAGUGAUAAGUGAGAAAAUUUUACAUUGGGAUCCCAUUUUAUUAAUCUUCAAUUUAAAAAUUACUAUUUUUGGAUGCUUAAACAAUAUCUUAAAAUACUUGUUACUAGCAUUUUAUUUAAAGAAGGUUUGUCUUGAAAAUACAAAUCAAACACAUGUAAAAAUCAUAACUACACAAUUUUCAAUGUAGAAAUUAUUCAUUUAUUCAUUUUAAAAAUAGUGACCGGUGUGCAAUGUAUGUGAGCAUUAAUUAAGAGUACUAUCUUCUGUUCCUACCGAUCAAAAAAAAGUUCAUGAAAACUUGUCUAAAACUACACAGCCACACAUUAACAUUUGUAUUUUUCUUAGUAGUUGUAUUCACUUCUGUUUUGAAUCUAAGAAAAAAUCUCUAAUUUUAUGAUCUCAAAACACCUUUCAAUAGUUUAUAUUUCAUUUUUCAGUAAUCUCUUAAUUUUAUGAAACACGUGACAUUUUGGAGGAUAUCUGUUUUAUUUUACAAAAAGAAAAUUAAAUUAGACUACUUACUUUUUUUUAUGUUUAAUUAAAGUAGGUUGUUUUGUUGCUUACAUUUAACACUAGAGUGAGUGCACAUACAUAGUACGUGGAAUAUAUUUUUCUUUUAAAAAAAACUUUAUAGAUGUGAACACAACACAAGAUCAAACAUAACUUGCUGUGCACUGAAUCACUUUGAUUCCCUGAUGAAUUGGACAACUUGCAGGAAUUGAACCAUUUGUGACACUGUCACAUUUCGAUUUACCUCAAGAACUUGGAGACAGAUACGAAGGUUGGCUAAGUCCAGAGUCACAGUAAGUAAUUUAAUUACCCUUCUUAUUGUACAUAUACAUGUCAUUAUUUACUUGUCAUAAGCUAAUAUUUAUCAAUACUUUGAUUGAUGCACAGGGAAGAUUUCGUAUAUCUAGCAGACCUUUGUUUCAAAUCAUUUGGUGACAGGGUAAAAUACUGGGCAACCUUCAAUGAGCCAGAUUAUCUGAUCACAUACGGCUACCGCAAAGGAAUAGCUCCGCCAUUUCGUUGCUCUAAACCAUUUGGAAAUUGUAGUGAAGGAGAUUCAGAGAAGGAGCCAUAUCUGGCGGUUCACAAUAUAAUCCUAUCUCAUGCAGCUGCAGCAUAUAUUUAUAGAACUAAAUACCAGGUAGUCUUUUAGUUUAUAACAUAACAUUCUAUACAUUAAAAAAAGAGUAGUGCUAAAAACAUUAACACUCUUUUCAAUAUCCACUCUUAUUUGAUGAAAGUCAUGAGUCACACAACACUAUGUAUAUGACAUUUGCAAUAUGAUGGGAUCCACAUAAAAUUCAUUCAAUAAGAGAGUGACUUUUGGAAAGUGUGUUAGGCUAAAUUACACCUUUAUAUAUGUGCCAAUACAAGGUUCUUCACAAUUGUCCUUGAUAAGGAUAAAGACAUCUUGCUUAAAAAUGGAAGUGGAAACAAUCAGAAAUACUAAUUCAAAUUGUGGUGAAUGAAAUAUUCAGGCCGAGCAAGGUGGUAAAAUUGGCAUUGUCUUGCAUUUUGACUGGUAUGAACCCAUCAGCAAUUCCAUGGCAGACAAGCUGGCCACAGAAAGAGCAAGAUCAUUCACCAAUAAUUGGUAUCCUUUCCUUCAAUAAACAACCUUUUUUGUUUGUAAUCAACUUCCAUACAAUGAAACAUGACACACAAACACUGAACACGAAACUGACAUAUACAUCGAUAAUAAUUUUUUUUUAAAGUAAUUGAACGUUACUACAUGUGUUCGAAUUGGUCCCACCUUCAAACAAGCUUAUUCUCUAAGUAAUUAUUUGAUAUAAUAACUAUAACCCAAAGCAGGCUCUUGGACCCAAUCAUAUUUGGUGAAUACCCUCCAGUUAUGCAGAAGAUUCUAGGAGAUAUAUUACCCAAAUUUUCCAACAAUAAUAAAGAGAAACUGAAGAGUGGAUUGGAUUUUAUUGGCAUCAAUCAUUAUGCAAGCUACUAUAUCAAGGACUGCAUCUACUCCAAAUGUGAACCGGGGCCAGGGAUCACCAGAACAGAGGGUUUAUUCCAACAAAGUGCAGAAAAAGAUGGCGUUCCAAUUGGCAAACCUGUAUGUAUUUUCAACCUUACAUCAAUAAAGAUUAAUGAAACUAACAUUUUCCCUUUGCAUUACCAACCUAAUUCUGAAACUUCUGUUGACAUGUAUGCAGACUUCAAUUGAUUGGCAAUAUGUUUAUCCACAAGGCAUGGAGAAAAUUGUCACCUAUGUAAAAACCAGAUACAAUAACACUCCAAUGUUCAUAACUGAAAACGGUACGUAUAACAGUGAAUCCUCUAAUGGAUGGAGUUUGUGUGUUUCUGUUUUAAUAAAUUGUUUUUUAGGUUAUGGGGAGUUGGACAACCCAAAUAACACUGAGGAGCAAUACCUUAAUGAUUUUGACAGAAAAAACUACAUGGCUGGUCAUUUGCUUUCCCUACUAGAAGCCAUAAGGUAGGAUAUAUGAAAACCCAGCUAUAUGAAGUGCAUUCUAAAAUUAAAUCUCUAUCUGUGAUGUCACUUUGAACCCUAUCUGUCUUUUUUGUUUGUAUAUAUAAACUCACUCAAAUUUGCUCAAUGCCAUAUCCCUAUGCUUUAUGACUAGUAUCCCUUUGCUUUAAGAUCAAUUUCUUUUUGUUUUGCCAUUUACCAUGUAAUCAGGAAAGGAGCUGAUGUUAGGGGGUACUUUGCAUGGUCCUUGCUCGACAACUUCGAGUGGUUACAAGGAUAUACAGUAAGAUUUGGACUCCACCAUGUUGAUUAUGCAACACUCAAGAGAACUCCAAGAUUAUCAGCAAAUUGGUACAAGGAAUUCAUAGCAAAACAUAAAACAGAAGUCUUCCGCCAAGAAAAAUGAUAAAAGGAAAACAGGUGCAAACAAUUUGGUACAAAUAAACGAAAUAAAUGCCAGGUCCUAAUCAGCUAAGCUUUCAAUAGUUUGGCACGUUUGAUUUGUGCUUCUAUAUUCAAUGAAAAUGUUGUUCCAUUCUUCAUAAAGAUUUGUUUAAUUCUGCAAUUUAAAGCUCUGGCUUACAUGUUAAGGGUUGAUUUGAAAAGAAAUGAAGUUCAAGUUUCACCAGUCUACUAGAAUAAAUUUCGAUCUAGAACCCCUCCUGCAGUGCUGCAUGUAUGUAUUAUUAUAAGAAUUGAAAUCAUUUCAUCUGAUGUUUAUUCAUACUUAUGGUUGAUAUAAGAUUGUCAUAACAUCACCAAACUAUAGAGGAAGAGACUCGAGAACCUGGUAGAUCAAAGUUUUUGAUGAAUUUCAACAUUAAGACAAUAACUUUCAUAAUUUAUUCACAUACACCAAUGACACCAUGUUUUGUCUCAUGAAACAAGGAGAGAUAUUUGUUGUUCUUCGCUUUCUCGUAGAUCUUAAAUUUCAAGCUAACUAAUUUGAUGCAUUCCUUGACAUUAUUGCUUUAUGGGAUGCUUUGCUUAAUAGACUUCUCCAUAGUAUAAUUUAGUAGACAGAAAAGCUCAAACUUAAGGUGUAAUAAUACAAAUGAAUAUUGCAAAUCUGUUUGAGACAUCUAUGGCACCUUAGAAAGCGUAAAAAAGUCAAUGUUCCUCAUUGCCUACAAGACAGAGUAUGAUCAUAUCGUCGGUGUACAUGAGCAUAUUAUGAAGCAAGUGCGUUACUAUAAUAAAAUGAACUUUUCCAAGGCUGACAUUGGUGAAACCUCUAUCAUUUGGUGAGUUCUCAAUUCUGUUCAUCCACAUUUUGAUGUUAUGAAGACCUCUUAUGACACUUGGAAAUAUGACUGGACAAUGGAUCCGUCUAUCAUUAACCUAAAUGAUCAUUAACAUGAAUAUUAACUUUCUAGCAUAAACAAAAAGCUUCUAUACCAAAAUGCAAAUAGAGUACAAGAAAACUAAGACAAGCACUUUUAGGGAUUGACGAGAGCUCGAAAUACCACUAUCUAAUAUUGUGACUUUUCUUGAUUCAUCAAUAUCCAAGUAAACGGAGGUCUUGACCAGUGAAUAAUAUAUCCUCAGGCUUGCCUAUUUAGAGUUGAUUGUAAUAAAAUAGGAUGCUCAGGGCUCACCGGUAUAUGACAGCAUGCACCAUCCUUCCAUGAAACUCCUCCUUUUUGUUUGGGUUUCUCUUUUCAAAUUAGCACAACCUCACUCCACUCCUCCCCCAUCUUAGAAAAAAUUUGCACUUUUACUGCAAAAGGAGGAACCAUCAACGAUACAUGACAAAUCUUCCUUCAAUUGAAUGAAUAUCAGCGUCUGCAUGCAAAAACAUCUCUUUACUUUUUCAGGCAUACAAAAUUUACAGAUCAGUUGUAACACUGAACCAUGAUGAUUCCAACUUGAAUUACAAUGAUACUCACUCAAAACUGAGGCAAAAUUCAAACAUAACUUCAGACUUGAGCCAUAUCCUCAACUCAAGCAUAUUCCAGCAUUUUAACACCUCCACCAAGGUGAACCAGCUCUGUGAAAGUGUUCAUCAUCAUCCCAUGAAAUUUGGCAAGCUUGAAGUCCAAUUGCAACACUAGGCUCUUUUCCAUGUUGUGCAACCCAGUUUAUAACAGCCGCUUCUUUUUCACUCUCACUAGGGAAAUCUUUCUUGUAUUUUCCAAAUGGAUUAAGUCCAGGAUUUAUCAUCUCUGCAACUGCAGCUGGCAUAUACAUAGUAUCACCAACUAAUGGUGCCUUACAAGCAGCAAAUUGAGCUCGAAUCUGCAUUAAAAUUGAAGUCAUUAUAUCAGUAAAAACAGUAGUUUUGUUUUCCUAAAAGAUAAUUAGAUAAAAGAAAUGUAAGAAAGUUUUCUUUGUUCAUUCAUUAUAAAUUUAAAUAGUGCUAAAUGGGAACCAGCUGGUUCGCCAUUCAGAUAAAAGAAUCUGAAAAUUGAAUUGGCUGAUACCAUUAGAAGAUAUAAACUUCCAGAAAACAAGUGGAGGGGAGCGAUAUAUUAAAAUUGAAACACUCCUUGGCAAUUAACACAAAUAUAGCCUAAUAUUAGAUCCAACAAUUGCUAGAAUAAUAGAUUUUGUCUUUACAACAAUGAUUUAUAGCAGCCAACAGAUUGCUUCACUACUAAAGGCAGCUGGUCAACAGGCUAUAGCUGAUGAAGGCAUAUAGCACAAAAAUACAUAAAACAAAGCAGGCAAUAAAUCACUUUUCAAUUUACCAGAAGAUAAGAAUUUAUCAAUCAACUGUGUUUUCAUUAUUUUUUUGAAUUGAUCAUUCGUAUCUAUAAUCUAUCAUAUGUCUUAAGAAUCAACAAAAGAAAAAUGCAAAUAUUACAUUAAAAGACAGCUAACAGACCUGAUGAGUUCGACCAGUAAGAAGGUUGAUUUUGCACUCAUACGCGUAAUCUUGAGAUGGCCACCCACAGUCUUCAACACAAUACUCAUCUUGAACAACACUAGUUGGCCAGGGAAUCUUUCUGCAUUCUAUGACCUCAAGUUGACAAAGAAGCCAUCCCUUGAUAAAAUCUGCACUCAAUAAACAUACGGGGUUCAAUCACAAUACAAGACCCUUAUCAGGAAAACUUUUACCAAUUCCUCGAAGCAAACAAAUGAUUUAAAGUUUAACUGUACAUAAGAAACUAGAAAUGCAUUUGCCCAUUGACACAUCAUGUUGUUGUUUGGAGUCCAUUGGGUUGGGUGAACACCUAUUCAAAUUCUACUCAAUCAAAAAUAAAAAUGAUAGAAGUUGAUUAGGUAGCUGAUUUCUAUCUUGGCUAAUGCACUUAACUUAAUCAUAUGGUCAAAACUUUAUGAUAUCACAAUUCCUUAGUGCAGUAUAAAGCUGAUAUAUUAUCCCCAAGCGCAUCACUAUGUCUUCCAUUGUCAACUCUUUGCAUUUAGUCUUUUCAGGGAGUGGAAUAUUGAAUAUCAAGCAUAGGCAAAGCUAAUGUCACAAACAAGUCAUGCUUUCACUAAUAUCAUGAAUCAUGCAGUUGGCUUCUCCCACUGAAGUUUCUCAUAAUACAUAAUCAACGAAAGUACACAUAUUUACUAAACUAUUUUAUUUCAAGUUCUCAAACAAUCUUUAGCUAAGAACUCCAAUUUGUGUAGUUACCUUCCGAAAUAAGUCGAGGGGCCAUGUUAAUAGGACGCAUAUAGUGGUUAAUGAUUCCAGUUGGUAUAGGACAUGCUGCAAGAGCAAGAUAGAGCUUCUUCACUUUUUUCUCCUGAAGAAAAUAAUUUAGUAUUCAAUAAUUUGCACAUUCACUUGGAGUGAAAAGAACUCUUUCAAAGAAUGAAUCCUCAUCUCACGUAGAACUGUAGAAGAUUGCUCUAGUAUAAACUAUGAAAUAAGUUCAUGAGUUACCCGUAUUUUGCCAUGAAAGACAGAGCAAUACUCUUUAUUCCUAGCUAAUACUACACUGCACGUAAAUAACAAUAUAUUACAUUCUCUAUCAAAUCCAGAAUGACAAGCAACACUAAUUUAUUUAAACAUAGGCAUUACCAGCCUUCUGUGCAGUUAUCAAUCUGAUGGGUAGUCAUCAAAGGUGUUGUCAAUCCCAAGGCACGAGUUGCAAAGGUUGCACAACUUUCUUCAAUGUUGUCUGUAGUGCCACCAACCUGACAAAAAUUAGAAAAUGAUAGAUUGCAAAGAAACUUUAGGCAGUCAUAUCAAUAAAUUUCAAGACAAGUCUUAUAGAAUAUUAAAUUCGUGACAUUCCGAAUUAGGAAUCUAACACUAUAUCUCAUUCAAAACUAGUAAACAUAUCGCAGACAAUGCUCAAAAUUUAUCUCCAUCUACUGAACAUCAAGCCCCAAAACGAUAAAUCUUGAGAUUGCUCUAUCUUUACGUAACAGUAAUUUGCAAUACCGUUAUUGCUUGAUAAGGACUUCAAGUUAGUAAACCUUGAAGCCUAUCAAACGAAUGGAGGAAUCUAAUACUAGCCUAUUAGGAAUCAGAAUACACAUUAAAAUUUCACCUUGUGUGUAGACAAACAAUAAUGUUGGACACAAUCUUUCAACACUUUGAUGAAGACAUUCAGGGGUCCUAAUUAGGAACCAUAAGGGGUGUUUUUAUUUCAAGUAGGAGUAUUUUAGUAUUUUUUGCAAUAGCUCCACCCACCCUUAUACUAGACUCCUUUGAAACAUAAGGGGUCCCUAAAUAUAAGCCUCAUUACGAAUUUCUAGAUACAUUUAAUACCACCAAUUUGUAUUGGAAUAUGAAAAGUCAAAAUUGAAUGCAUCUAUACACAAAGUAAUUCAGUAAUAGUCAUAAAAUAAAAUGCACACAUUAGUUACACUACCAGCUAGACUUAAUAUUUGAAAAGUGUCAAAGGGUCUUAUGAAUAGGGACAGAGGAGUAUGAAAUUUACAGGACUUAUCACUGUUGACUACAAUCUAAAAUUUCAUAACAAUUCUAUAAGUAUCCUAUAAGGGGGUUAAUAGCUUUUCUGAGUUCAUAAUGUAGGAUAGAUUACAUACUGAAGUACCAGCAGGUUUAUCCAAAACGACGUAUGAUUCCUUCACAGCUAUGAUCCUUGAUCUCCAGUCAAUCUCAUAGGACCUAAAAAGAACUUUCAAAUGUCAAACAUUAUCAUAUCAUGCCUCUAUAAUAACAACGAAAAUGCAAAUCUAACGAACAUCUCAACGUACCUAGGAAAACGCUUAGGGUGCACGUGCACUCGCAAAUAUGUUCCUGGUUCAACAAAUUGAUCCACAUCAGUUACACGGAACGUUUUCUGUGCUUCUCUUAUAGUUUUUCCUUUGACAGAAGCUCUUUUUCGCACAACCAGUGGUUCAGUUACUUCUUUAAAAACCCUAAUUUGCUCUUCAGUAGCAUUAGGAGGAGGUUUCGGACAAACAAGAGCGAAAUACACAGCUCCGAAUUGAAUCAAAUCCGCAACAAACCUUCACAAAAUAAAACUUAGGGUCUAAACCAAUUUUCAUGAAGUUAACAAUAAAACUUCAUAGAUGAACUUCGUACUUACAAAUGAGGAAGAUUCAAAGCUUUACAAAUGUAUUCUAAUACAGGUCCUUCUUCUGUAACAACUAAGUGUUCGAUUCUUGGUGGAGAUUUGUGUGUUGGACAUGGAAGCAAUCGAUCAUACUUAGGGUAGCUUGGAGAAAAAGCAAGUGUCAAUAUCAAACAAAAAAUGUGUAAGCGGUAGAAAGUGCUGAAAUGUAAACACUAAGGGCCUGUUUGGAUUGGCUUAUUUGAGCUUAUCUAUUGACAUAAGUUGUGUGAGACUGUUAGAAAGAACUUUUGAAAACAGCUUAUGGACAUUGUUCAUAAGUUGUUUUCAGCUUAUUUUCAUAAGUUCUCCAAGAUAGCCUGUAAAAAUAAAACUUACACGACAACAAUUUGAUUUAAUUUUAUCUUUUGCAAUAGAAAUAGCUUAUUCAUAAGUGCUUAUCAAGAUAAGGAUUGUGCUAAAAAGCUGUUUAUCCAAACAGAGCCUAAGUAAGAGCUGAAAAUAAAAACUGUGAAUGUUCCAACAGGAAGAAAGUGAUAGUGAAUGUACCUAUUAGAAGAAGAGGUAACUGUUAGGUUUACAGCGUCGGUUGUUGAAGAUUCGGUUUCACCGGCGAUUGCCGUGAAACUGUUGUGUGAACUCCGACAACGCAAACGAAACGCGUGGUUGGUGAGGUGUUUGGUGAGUGAAAUGGGAAUUGCACGCGCCGCUGCCGGAACGGCGAGGGUACGGCAGCUCCCGGCGAAUAACAUUGACGCCACCGCAACGGAACACAUUUUCUCUUUUUGUUUUCGAAGUACUUCUUCAGUUACUGGUAGAAGUUGGUUUUGAAUUUUUUUAAAUUGCUCUUCUGGCCCCCAAAUUUCCAUUUUUACCCGUUUUUACCCCUAAAGAAACCGUUCGGGAGUUACGAAUGAAUUGUUCGGAAGAUAACAUUAUUCAACAACAAAUUUGUUUAAGAGUAUAACUGAAAUAAUGAAUAAUUCAUCUCGAAAAAGCAUGUUUUCCAUUUAUAUAUUGUUAUAGAUUAUUAGAAAUCAAACUUAAAAUCGUCCAUAAGUCCUAACUCAAUUGGUAAAAUGCCGAAAUUAUUAAGCCGGACGUCAUGAUCGGGGUUCGAACUCCGACACCUCCGUUUAUGUGUGUGAGAGUUUAUAAUGACACUGUCAUUUCGUCUAUCUACCCAAAAAAAAUCAAAAAUCAAACUUCAAAUCGUACGAAAAAUGAAUGAUUAUAUGAUUAUUUAAUUACUUAUAUUGAAAGUAAUAUUUUAUUAAAACAAUUACGAUGUAUAAUUAUGCUUUAAAAACUAAAAUAUUAUAUAUAUAUAUAUAUAUAUAUAUAGACACACACACAUAUUGGCGAAAAGACGGCACUCAUAUGCCUGUCUUUCCGCUCUUUUUACUGUGUUAAAACUUGUAAAUUAUGAACUAUGUUUUUUUUAUGAAAUUUUGAUUUUGAUUUUGAUUAAAACUAAAAUAUAAAUGUUUGUUGCUUUCUAGUUAUAACAAACCAAAUUAAACAUGACUAUCUAUUUCAGUAACACCAAUAACAAUCUUUAUUAUAAAAAAAAAGUUGUUUAAGGGUAUAAUUGGGAUAAUAAAAAAUUAAUAUAAAUAUACUCAUUUAGUUUAUUACAUUGUUUAAAUGAUAAAGAGAAAACAAACAUAUAUAUAUAUAUAUAUAUAUAUUCAUAUCGUGUUUGUUACAUUUUUUUAAUAUUUAAAUUUAUUAUUAUCUAUUUGUUACAUUACACGUGUUAUUUGUAUUGAAAAUUAAGGGUAUUUCAUAUUUUAGUUCAAAUAUAUAGUAUAGAUAUAUGUGUGUAUGCGCUACUUGUUCAGCCUGUGAACUGUCUUGGAGGAGCAUUUGUCUUGCGCUCUCUGUGAAUGAAACUAGACGAUGUUUUUCUGCUAAAUUUGUGUAAACAUCCUCAAUCAUAUCUAGAGCAAUAUCAAUAUCAAAAAAUAAACGUAUUAUUCAAGCAUUUCAUUUAACACUUAAAGCACAAUUCACAAUAUCUAAAUUCCUAAUUUAAAUAUGAACACUACAAUUCACUAAAAUUACAAACAAACAACUAAGCUAAACCCUAAACAAUACAUAAAUCAUUGCGGUUACUAAUUUAUCAGAAAAUUUCUUCUCUUAAUUUUAGCUUUCACUUAUAGAGAAUUUUCGCAUUCAACAUUAAAGUUUUAACAUGUAUAGAGAAAAAUGAUCCCAAAAAGAACUACAAGACUAAAAUAUGGAAUAAUUAUUUCAUAUUUUAGUUCGAAAUAAUAUGGUUUUUAGAUUGCAUCAAUAAAUUAAUGUUCAAGUGAUUGAUUGUGUCAAUCUAUUAUUUUGGUGGUGAUUAAAAAAUAGAAUAAAUUGUACCCAAAAAAAAUAAGAAUAAAUAAUUUCAUUAUGGAUGGUCUCACCCACUUGCAUGUUAAGAAUUUAGAGUGUGAUGUUGUUUGUUUUUUGGUUUGUAUUGGUGGGGGCAUUUUCAUUUUGAACCCUUGUAUUGUUUGGGGUUCUUUGCCAUUGAGUACUUUUUGAGUAUUUGUGUUUUGUUGAUUGAGACGUUUAAUAUAUUUCUGGCUUAUUGAAAAAAGCCAAAUAAAAAGACAUGAAAACUCGAAUAUUCUAAAAUUAAAUUAGUAUGUAGAAUGCAGUUAUGGAAGCAAACCAACAUUUAUAUUUGAUAUGGUAUAUUGAUAUUGACUGAAUUGAACUAUCACUUACAUUACAUGGCCACCCAAAGAUUUAGUCCAAGAUUUACAGCUAUUUCUAACGUAUAAGGCACCAUGCACCAUCAAAAUUCUAGCUGUUACCCAUUGUACGUGGGAAAUGGUCCCAACUUGUACUCUUGUUUCUUAUUUAUAGGGUAAGCUAAAUUACCAUUAGGUAACUCAAGUGGUAAUAGGAGUGUGAUUAAAAUAGAAAAUUUAAUUUAGCUAGCUAUGGUUUUCUGCACUGUAAUGUAAUGAAAAAAUUAAAAAAUAUUGUAACUACGCCCAUGACAUCACAUGCAGUGUCUACUCUGAAAUUUCGUCUAGGCAAUUUUGUGAUCAAUUUGUGAGAUCAUCUUUUGUCUCAAUUCCACACCAAAUCCAAGACAAAAACAAAAUAAAAUCUACAGCAUCUGUGUCUCUAGAGCACAAAAUUCGACAGCACAUUAACAUUUUGUGACACAUACCAAUGAAACAACUCAUUCAUGUUGUAACUUUUCGAUGGUACCAAUCUCGUGUGUUUCAAAAGCUGAUUGAGGUUUUCUCUUGUGUAUAUGUUCUGGAUUCCAAUGAAGAUUGCACCACCUGCAUAUUCAUAUCUAAUGGUUGAUUUGGUCUAGAUAAAACGACAAUAUUGAAAAUGGAUGUAAAAAGGUAAAGAGAAAAUAGGAUAAACAGUCUACUUAACUUAGCUGGUAAGGACAAUGAGCUAGUUUAACUGAGCUAGUUUUCCAUUUCACACAGAUUAAGAAAAGUGUAUAAAGGAAAUAGAGAGAGAGAGAGAAAAAAAAAAUAGUUUUGAGUGUCUUUUUCAAGUAUUAGUGCAUUCUUCUUUAUCAUAAAUGUAAAGUAAAAUAUAUUGAAUUGAGAGUUGUGAAAGUAGUAUUAAUUAGAGUUAUAAUUGAAAAAAAGUAAUUAAUGUUGUAUUGAAAAGUGAAAUGGGUCAAAAUUCUUAAAAAAACUUUUUUUUACAAAUGUAAAGUCUGGGUCAAAAUUUUUUAUGGGACGGAGGGAGUAUAAUAUAUAUAAAGUCUGGGUGACGAACCCCAGACACUAUACCCCAUUUUGAAAGAAUUUUGCAAGAGUACCCAAACAAAGUCAAGCAUAUUUAAGAUUUUUCCUAAUUUUAUAUUUUUGACCAUUUGUUUAUUCUUUUUAGAUUUAAAAAAUAAAAACUCAACCUCCAACCCCUAAGGACCGCCUUAUUCUCAUGAUCAAUUACAUCGUCAAAUAUAUUAGUAUGUGUAUGUCUAUGUGCGCGCGUGUGCGUUUGCAUGUGUGUUCUAUAUGUUGUCUAUAUUACUCAAAGUUUAUGGGUCCGUCGCUGUGUAAAUUCUCUACGAUGGUAAUGAUAUAAAAAAAAUGGUGAUUGAAAAUUUAAAAAAAAAAAAAAGGUUUGAGCAAAUGAUAUUAUGGGAAAUUGAUUACUUAGUCGUAAUAAAAUUGAAAUAAUGAUAAAACUAUUGAAGUUAUUAAUUAUACGACACUGUGUGGAUAAUAAUUUACGUAAACACUGAAGUAAUUAAGCACUAGUGGCAAAGGAAGAAAACGAAAUAAAACCUACUAAAUUGAAAAAUUGAAUGUUGAGAGGAUGUUACGUGGAAUAAUCUGGUAUAAAUGUAGGGGGGACACAUUUCUAGAGUCAAAUUCUUACGUCUUUCCUUAUAUAAAAAAAAUCAUUUUGUCUUUUGAAUACUGGACAGACCCACAUGGAUGAUAUGCACCCAUAAGAAAAUCAAUGCAUACUAGAUUAUGGUUUGUAGUGUCACUAUAGUGCAGUUGAGCCUGUAAAUUGUAAUAUUUGGCAAUAUCUUAGUAAAAUAUGGGUCACAUUCGACAAGUCAUUCCUCGAAAGUUUGAGGAAAAUGGUAGUUAGUUUCUGACUCAGACUAAUGUCUCAUUGGACUUCUUUUUCUAUUCUUUUUUUUAGGUUUUUCUUAUGUGUUUUUUACAAGAAAAAGUUUAGGCAACUUGAACGUAAAAAUUACUUACAAAUACUUAAAGUUAACACUAACAAAAUAAUUAUAAACUAUUUUCUUCGUCUUAAAAUAUAAGCAAAAAUUAGUCAACAAAAGUUAACGUAUUUGGUUCAAAAUUUAUAUCAGAUACAUCAACUUAUGUUGACUCAUUUUUACAGAGGUCGUAUUUAAAAAAAAAGUCUUGCUAAUCAGUACCCUCAUGGCAAUGAUUAAAGAAUCUACAAAUAGAAAUUUUGUUUUAGAAAUGUAAGAUUUUACUUUGGAUAAAGUAAUGAUUGCACAACUUUUUCGUAAAAACUUACUUAUUUUAAAUUUUUAAUUUUUAAUCAUUGCCCUUAGAACAUUAGUUAGCAUUCUCCUUAAAAAAAAAAAAAAAAAUCCUUCUUAUAAGAGUUCAACUCGCAUUUAGAUGAAAUGAGUCAACUUUAUAAUAAUUGUGUCAUUUUUCAUUGACUCUUAUAUUAUUGUUAUACACUUUUUUUUUUUUUUUUUUUUUACAUUUUCAUUAAUAUAGCUCUUGUUCUUUAAAAAAGAUCUCAUAUUUAAAUUUAAAUAAUAACAAAAAAAUGCACAAUCCUUAAAAAAGUUGGUUGAAGGCGUUUUACAUGAUGAAAACAAUAAUCAUGUUUUUCUUUCAAAAAAAAGUUCUUGUUAACACUUCAAUUUCCGAUGCAUUGAAUGCAUAAUUUUUCAUAAAAAUUUACUAUUUAAAGUACUUAAAGUUUCCCAAAAAAAUAAUACUACCUCCGUCCUUAAUUAUAAGAU
Molecule: long non-coding RNA, 14408 nt
Filed under: Medicago truncatula (barrel medic)
Lineage: Eukaryota; Viridiplantae; Streptophyta; Magnoliopsida; Fabales; Fabaceae
Description: long non-coding RNA (MTRU_LNC008103)
Rfam family: MIR5269 microRNA precursor family (bases 281-357)
Source: RNAcentral